This 484-nucleotide ribosomal RNA is filed under the name uncultured bacterium. RNAcentral describes it as "partial 16S ribosomal RNA". It matches the Rfam family "Bacterial small subunit ribosomal RNA", at positions 30 to 507 of the family's 1533-position model. The record is from RNAcentral.
AUUGAACGCUAGCGGGAUGCUUUACACAUGCAAGUCGAACGGCAGCGCGGACUUCGGUCUGGCGGCGAGUGGCGAACGGGUGAGUAAUGUAUCGGAACGUGCCCAGUAGCGGGGGAUAACUACGCGAAAGCGUAGCUAAUACCGCAUACGCCCUACGGGGGAAAGCAGGGGAUCGUAAGACCUUGCACUAUUGGAGCGGCUGAUAUCGGAUUAGCUAGUUGGUGAGGUAACGGCUCACCAAGGCGACGAUCCGUAGCUGGUUUGAGAGGACGACCAGCCACACUGGGACUGAGACACGGCCCAGACUCCUACGGGAGGCAGCAGUGGGGAAUUUUGGACAAUGGGGGCAACCCUGAUCCAGCCAUCCCGCGUGUGCGAUGAAGGCCUUCGGGUUGUAAAGCACUUUUGGCAGGAAAGAAACGUCGCGGGCUAAUACCCCGUGGAACUGACGGUACCUGCAGAAUAAGCACCGGCUAACUACGUG